RNAcentral lists this ribosomal RNA (528 nucleotides) under Staphylococcus aureus. RNAcentral describes it as "partial 23S ribosomal RNA". It matches the Rfam family "Bacterial large subunit ribosomal RNA", at positions 2320 to 2849 of the family's 2925-position model. Lineage: Bacteria; Bacillati; Bacillota; Bacilli; Caryophanales; Staphylococcaceae. The record is from RNAcentral.
CCUCAGAAUGGUUGGAAAUCAUUCAUAGAGUGUAAAGGCAUAAGGGAGCUUGACUGCGAGACCUACAAGUCGAGCAGGGUCGAAAGACGGACUUAGUGAUCCGGUGGUUCCGCAUGGAAGGGCCAUCGCUCAACGGAUAAAAGCUACCCCGGGGAUAACAGGCUUAUCUCCCCCAAGAGUUCACAUCGACGGGGAGGUUUGGCACCUCGAUGUCGGCUCAUCGCAUCCUGGGGCUGUAGUCGGUCCCAAGGGUUGGGCUGUUCGCCCAUUAAAGCGGUACGCGAGCUGGGUUCAGAACGUCGUGAGACAGUUCGGUCCCUAUCCGUCGUGGGCGUAGGAAAUUUGAGAGGAGCUGUCCUUAGUACGAGAGGACCGGGAUGGACAUACCUCUGGUGUACCAGUUGUCGUGCCAACGGCAUAGCUGGGUAGCUAUGUGUGGACGGGAUAAGUGCUGAAAGCAUCUAAGCAUGAAGCCCCCCUCAAGAUGAGAUUUCCCAACUUCGGUUAUAAGAUCCCUCAAAGAUGAUG